AAAUUAUGUAAUAAAUAUUCAAGAAAACAAUACAUUGUAAAAAAUACGAUACCAUUAUUAAAAACAUGAUGUAAAUUUUAAUUUUAAUGGCGAAGCGACAUGGCCGUGGUUGUUCUAUUCGCCGCAGGACGUCAGAUUUCAUAAAAUUAAAGAAGAUAUUUAAUCAAUACAGAUCAUUGUUUUACAGUACUAUCACCUCUAAACCUUUUAUCUUACUAACAUUAUCGCUCGUCCUAUUUUUUACUUUCCUGCUACCGGACUUCUCUGAACGAAUCGACAGAAGUGCGGAAUUAAAGGAAAUGAAGAAAGUUUUGGAUAAGAUCACGGAAGAUAUAAUUCAAGCUCAAAGGACCUGUUAUACAGCAGCUGAAGACAUCUACGCGAUAUAUAAUUUAAACAACGUUUAUCGUGGUAUUUAAAUUCAAAAAGGUUAAAUUUUCAAAAUAAAGCGCCAUCUACACAAUCUUGAAAGCAACUGCACAUAGAGAACAAGACAUAAUAUUUCAAAUUAAAACUUCAAUGUCAACCACAGAUUAAGAGUUUGACAAUACAAUAACUAGAAAGCAGUUAUAUAAAACUUCACAAUCAAGUGAAAAUAAUUAAAUCUAAAAUAUAUUAUAUUAAAAGGGAAGUAUGCCAGUCCGUAAGAACUUUAUUUUGGAAUUAGCCAUUUUUGUCAGUGUUAUACUUAUAACGUCGCAUAUUACCACUCAUCUUUGGGACAGACACUUUUUACGCCGUGAAAUUAAUAAUAUGAGAAAAAGCUUGCAUUCACUUAAGAAUACAAUGACCGAUAUUGGUACAGCGUACGACACUUUACACAAAGAUGUAAAACAAAUUGUUAAACACAAGCCCUGCAAAAGCUGUUGCCAUAGUCCAGAUCACACCCUUGACAGAAGAAAACAACAUGACAUAAACGUCGUGUCUAUGAUAGAGAAGAAAAAAGCCUCUAUGGUCUGUAAAGAAGUGCAGACCCGACAAAAUACAGCCUUUAAUAAGUACUGCCUAACUACUAAUGCCUCGACAAUAACUAGAUAUCCGCUUAGAUCAACCGGUGUAGGCAUUGAAACUAGAAAAUAUUAUGCAUAUAAGGACGAUUGCACAUGCAAAGACAUAAGACGAACAAUUAAAGUUUAAAAUAUUUAUUCGA
Long non-coding RNA from Pieris rapae (cabbage white), 1150 nucleotides. RefSeq lists it as uncharacterized. The transcript is spliced from 5 exons. NCBI's taxonomy places the organism in Eukaryota, Metazoa, Arthropoda, Insecta, Lepidoptera, Pieridae. The record is from RefSeq and is a predicted model, not a curated record.